RNAcentral lists this long non-coding RNA (233 nucleotides) under Elaeis guineensis (African oil palm). Its description in RNAcentral is "long non-coding RNA (EGUI_LNC080591)". The record is from RNAcentral. Lineage: Eukaryota; Viridiplantae; Streptophyta; Magnoliopsida; Arecales; Arecaceae.
AGAAAAAAGAAUUAAUGUUAUCUUAGGGAGAACUUUUACUGGAAGUUUAAAUAGAUUAGAAGUCAAGAUAUUUUCAGUGGAAAUGAGGCUUUUGCAUCACAUGGUGACCAAGCUCUUUGUCCCUAGGAGUGGUAGGCAUGACCUCUUAUCUGGUAGGGAUAUUUGUAUCAUAUACCAUAUAAUCACCCAAACCCCCUUGAACCUUCCUGCUUUGAUGUUUGAGGCCAUGAGGG